Molecule: ribosomal RNA, 253 nt
Filed under: uncultured bacterium
Lineage: Bacteria
Description: partial 16S ribosomal RNA
Rfam family: Bacterial small subunit ribosomal RNA
Source: RNAcentral
UACGUAGGGGGCAAGCGUUGUCCGGAAUCAUUGGGCGUAAAGCGCGUGUAGGCGGCUUGGUAAGUCCGCUCUGAAAGCCCGGGGCUCAACCCCGGGAGGCGGGUGGAUACUGUCAAGCUCGAGUCCGGAAGAGGCGAGUGGAAUUCCUGGUGUAGCGGUGAAAUGCGCAGAUAUCAGGAGGAACACCAAUGGCGAAGGCAGCUCGCUGGGACGUGACUGACGCUGAGACGCGAAAGCGUGGGGAGCGAACAGG